RNAcentral lists this ribosomal RNA (477 nucleotides) under uncultured bacterium. RNAcentral's name for it is "bacterial SSU rRNA". It matches the Rfam family "Bacterial small subunit ribosomal RNA", at positions 365 to 832 of the family's 1533-position model. The record is from RNAcentral.
UUCGCAAUGCCCGAAAGGGUGACGAAGCGACGCCGCGUGUGGGAAGAAGGCCUUCGGGUUGUAAACCACUGUCGGGAGUUAGGAAAUGUAAGGGUGUUAAUAGCAUCCUUACUUGACUAAGGCUUCGGAGGAAGCCACGGCUAACUCUGUGCCAGCAGCCGCGGUAAUACAGAGGCGGCAAGCGUUGUUCGGAAUUAUUGGGCGUAAAGAGCACGUAGGCGGCCUUGUAAGUCAGUUGUGAAAGCCUUCUGCUUAACGGAAGAACAGCAGCUGAUACUGCAAGGCUAGAGUGCGGAAGGGGAGAGUGGAACUUCUGGUGGAGCGGUGAAAUGCGUAGAUAUCAGAAGGAACACCGGCGGCGAAGGCGACUCUCUGGUCCGUAACUGACGCUGAGUGUGCGAAAGCUAGGGGAGCAAACGGGAUUAGAUACCCCGGUAGUCCUAGCCGUAAACGAUGGGCACUAAGUAGAGGGGUUUU